GAUGAACGCUGGCGGCGUGCCUAAUACAUGCAAGUCGAGCGAACCCUUCGGGGUUAGCGGCGGACGGGUGAGUAACACGUGGGUAACCUGCCUGUAAGACUGGGAUAACUUCGGGAAACCGUAGCUAAUACCGGAUACUUUUUUGGUUCGCAUGAACUGAAAUGGAAAGAUGGCUUUUGCUAUCACUUACAGAUGGACCCGCGGCGCAUUAGCUAGUUGGUGAGGUAAUGGCCCACCAAGGCGACGAUGCGUAGCCGACCUGAGAGGGUGAUCGGCCACACUGGGACUGAGACACGGCCCAGACUCCUACGGGAGGCAGCAGUAGGGAAUCUUCGGCAAUGGGCGAAAGCCUGACCGAGCAACGCCGCGUGAGCGAUGAAGGCCUUCGGGUCGUAAAGCUCUGUUGUUAGGGAAGAACAAGUACCAGUUGAAUAAGCUGGUACCUUGACGGUACCUAACGAGAAAGCCACGGCUAACUACGUG
Molecule: ribosomal RNA, 483 nt
Filed under: uncultured bacterium
Lineage: Bacteria
Description: bacterial SSU rRNA
Rfam family: Bacterial small subunit ribosomal RNA
Source: RNAcentral